AUUGAACGCUGGCGGCAUGCUUUACACAUGCAAGUCGGACGGCAGCACAGAGAAGCUUGCUUCUUGGGUGGCGAGUGGCGAACGGGUGAGUAACAUAUCGGAACGUACCGAGCAGUGGGGGAUAACUAAUCGAAAGAUUAGCUAGUACCGCAUAUACUCUGAGGAAGAAAGCAGGGGACCAUUUGGCCUUGCGCUAUUUGAGCGGCCGAUAUCUGAUUAGCUAGUUGGUGGGGUAAAGGCCUACCAAGGCGACGAUCAGUAGCGGGUCUGAGAGGAUGAUCCGCCACACUGGGACUGAGACACGGCCCAGACUCCUACGGGAGGCAGCAGUGGGGAAUUUUGGACAAUGGGCGCAAGCCCUGAUCCAGCCAUGCCGCGUGUCUGAAAGAAAGGGCCCUUUCGGGUUGUAAAA
RNAcentral lists this ribosomal RNA (412 nucleotides) under Neisseria mucosa. RNAcentral describes it as "bacterial SSU rRNA". It matches the Rfam family "Bacterial small subunit ribosomal RNA", at positions 30 to 430 of the family's 1533-position model. The record is from RNAcentral. Lineage: Bacteria; Pseudomonadati; Pseudomonadota; Betaproteobacteria; Neisseriales; Neisseriaceae.